Molecule: non-coding RNA, 30 nt
Filed under: Rattus norvegicus (Norway rat)
Lineage: Eukaryota; Metazoa; Chordata; Mammalia; Rodentia; Muridae
Source: RNAcentral
CCCAUUGUCAAAAUGACGCGUGUCCUGGGA